ACGGAGGGUGCAAGCGUUGUUCGGAAUUACUGGGUGUAAAGGGCGCGUAGGCGGUUGUGUAAGUCAGAUGUGAAAUCCUUAGGCUUAACCUGAGAACUGCAUCUGAUACUGCGCAACUAGAGUACAGGAGAGGGAAAUGGAAUUCCCGGUGUAGAGGUGAAAUUCGUAGAUAUCGGGAGGAACACCAGUGGCGAAGGCGAUUUCCUGGCCUGAUACUGACGCUGAGGCGCGAAAGCAUGGGGAGCAAACAG
Molecule: ribosomal RNA, 251 nt
Filed under: uncultured prokaryote
Description: partial 16S rRNA
Rfam family: Bacterial small subunit ribosomal RNA
Source: RNAcentral